GUUUGAUGCCUUUCUUUCUGUAAGCAAACCAACAUGGUGGCUGCUGGUGGCCUGUUUGGCCAUGGAGACGGUGGAUAUAACCAGGGGCACUUGGUUCUGAACAUGGAAACCGCCUGGCCGGCCACUCAGCCCAUCACCAGUAGAGCUUCACGAAGCUCUUCAUGUGCUCUGGUCAACACAGACCUGCAGCGGUCAGCCGUGUCAGCCCUUGACUGGGCCGACGCCUUGGAGAUGGCGUUCAAUGAGUGGGGAGCCCACCGGCAAGAGAGCCUCCCUGGUUCUGGAGACCAUGUUCUCAGUUUUACAAAGAGACUGAAUCUGCCCACGUGGCUGGUCUCAUUUUCCUCGUUCGUCGGCCUUGCUUGCUAAUUUCCACGCUGGGUUUCGAGGCAGAGGAAGCAUAUACUGAGGGGAUGCCACCCGGGACUAUUUUGAGUUAGACUAAAGAGCUUCAGAAAUUCCUCCUUUGAUUCCUCCGGGCAGAGAGAAAUCUUUGUCUUUUCUCUCACUUAAUGAUAAAUGCUUCAAAGCCCAGACCUAUAUAAAAUACACAAAUGCUUUCUGGACAAAAUGGAUCUUGUCCAUUUUCUUUGGGCUUCGAUGGGAACAAUAAAGAUUGAGCUACAAAAGGUUGGCAAAGAGGAUUAUCCUUUUUCNCAGCCCAGAAAGUCCGAUAAUUGUAUCCACCACCGCUUACCCACCCGUCCCCCUGCUGACCUGGCCUGUGAAAUCCCCUUUUAAACUCUUGGCUGGCUCUCACCUGCCCAUUGCAAAGGCUGCAUUGUGCAGCGUGCCUGUCCGCAACUCCAGGAGAGGCAGCUUGAAGCACACUGUCCCUUCACCAGAGCAGCGCGUCAGGGGAUAGCUCUCUGGAUGGGGGUGGGGUGCAUCUCUAAUUUUCAAAGCUUCGGAACCUCACUUUGGAGAGGGAGCCCCUUGGGGGCUGAAGUGGACGGUGAAGAGUCUACAGUCACAGAUGCCCCAAAUCCAAAGGGGACGAAGGGGAGGAGUGAGGGAGACUCGGGGAGCGGUUUUGAUCUUCUCAGCAAUUUCUUGAUUUCGUUAGUUUAGAAAACACAUCGUUAGUUUCCAGCUGUGGCUCUAAAUCAAAGCCUCAGGCUCGAAGCUGAUCUAACUCCUGAUUUCAGUCCAUAACUUCCUCAGAAAACCCUUGCCGGCCAUUUGGAAGAGCAUGGAGCGGCUCCUGCAUGCCGAGGGAUGAGGGGAGGGUUUGGCUACUCAGGCAUUUUGAAGUUUGGGUUGGACAUUUCCUAGCAGUGUCGAAGCCUGGAGUCAUCUCAGCUAAAAACAGAAAGAUGACCUCCCAGUUGGCCAGUCAUCCUGAAGUUGGUGCAGAAUCAUCACCAAAGCAUGACUUUAGUAAGUGGCUGGUCCUCUCCCUGGGCCAGUAAAGAGGCCCGUUGCUUGGACCUGGCCACUGUGGUCUCAGAUGCGCACCAGGGGCCUGGCGUCGGAAGGGCAGCCACCACAGAGCUGCAGGUGGCUGCACUGUGUGGGCUCAGACACCUACCCGGGGCCCAGGCCGAGGCGGGCCUACCACCUCCACGGGCGGGGGCGGGGUGCAAAGAGGCAUGGAGCCCCAGGCAGCG
Molecule: long non-coding RNA, 1610 nt
Filed under: Marmota monax (woodchuck)
Lineage: Eukaryota; Metazoa; Chordata; Mammalia; Rodentia; Sciuridae
Source: RNAcentral